UGUUUUACCCUGGUCACUUACUUGUUCUAUUAGUUAAUGUUAUAUUGGCAUCAAACUACAAUACUCAAAGGUAGUGACUUUUUCAUAUGUUAAAAAAAAUAGGUAAGUAAAACUAAAGUAUAAAUUUGAAAAAUAAGGAUCUUUUAAUACUUCUAUAACCUCGGUCACUUCUUCGGCAAUUCAUUUAGAAUUUAAUUUUGGUAAUCAUUUUCAUAAUCAAUAAAAUACACCCUUGUCGGAAUUUUCAUACAAAUCGCUGUGCCCCUUUUUGUUUAAUUUUUUUCCGUAUUUGUCUAUUACAUGAUAAGGGCACUCAUGAUAAGGCCAAGUAAAACAUAAAUCUUUACAUUGAAUUUGUUUCAAUUAAACCUUUUUGAAGUGUCAGCCACUGGACUUCUUCAGUUUCUCUAUUAUCAUUCUAACAUUCAUUGUAGACAUGUCACUUUUUACGAUCAUUUAGUUGCUAUAACGUUUAUUGCUAAAUGUUUAUUUGGAUAAGUCUAUCUUUAGUGGUCGUUCCAAUGGUUUGUUCUUUGAAGUUAUCAUAGAAGCUUAUCUCAGGGAGGGGAUUGUUAAUAAUCGAUGAAAUUUAGCUGUGACGUUGGUUUGAUUGCUUUGUUAAUUUUGUAAACUCUGCCUGUUUAUUUACAAAGGAACUUCAUGGAUUUUCUUACAGGAUAUUGUAUGUAAAUUACCAGAUUUUCUGGAUACAGGAAAGUAUUUUUUACAAUCUUUAUAAUUGCAUAAUUCUUAUAUCUUAUAAAAUGUAUAAUGCUAGAAACAUAUACGCUUUAUUCAGAAAUUGAGUUUUUUGUUGGCGGACACAUUAGAAAGUAUAUAAGUAACAAUGUUACAUAUGUUUAUAUUACAUUUAAAGAAAACAUUAGAAAAUUCCGACACACAAUGUUUUAAAAAUAAGCAUAAAUAAAUGACUGAUUACAUGCCAAAAAUACCAGGAAACAAAAAGUAUCAUUUAAAUUGUCUAAUUUAUCAUGGCAUCCGCAUGUUUCAAACAACUAAGCAAGGUAAAGUGGGAACCUAUGCUGCAAAUCAUUUCCUUCUACAGUUCACAACCAAUACGUUUUGCAUUUCUUAUACCGGAAUGGAAAAGACACCAAAAGGAAUGGAUAAGCAUGAAAAGAACCGACUAGUAACAUUCCAUGAAACAAAAUACACACAAUCGCUUUUAAAAGACAGGGUAUCGGGACACCAUCCCAUCAAACCAGGGCGAAAUAAGGUGCUUCGUUUGUGUAAACAUCAUUCGUGAUAGCUGAGUUGCACAUGGCAAAUAAAAACCAAUACUUAUUGGAUAUCUGAAAUGAGGAAAGGGAAGUCACAAUUAUGUUCAUAUCGGUCAAACAAAUAACGAUGGCAUCCUUAAAACGUUUGAAAAGAUAACUUCACCGUUACCAUUUCGAACCAUUGAAUCGAUGUCUAACUGUGAGCAGCAACGAUCAAUUUAUGAAAACAUGAUAGGAAAGACCCAUCCCAUCGUAUCAAAUGAGAAUGUGUACUAUACAUUGUAUAUGCAGGUGUUGCAGGAAUUUUGCUACAUACAAAUUGACAGUUCAGAAUGAGAAAAUUAAGUUUUCCAAGGUGCUUAAUUCUUCAUAAACCUUCAGUAUGUAAUUGCUAGAAGUAAGUAAAGAAUGAAACAAAUUUUGAUGCAUCUGUGGUAUCCUUUAUUUCAAUUUGAUUAUAAGAAUUUCAAGAUUUAUAUAUGCGUCACUGUUUGAUGAGUUCUGUGUUGUCGUUUAUGGAAGAGUUCUUUGUUAUUCUGCGGUAUUCAUAUUACGUAUGUACUGUUAUUUCAGUUAUGAUGAAUUUAUUUACAACCACUGGGUCGAUGCCACUGCUGGUGGAAUUUUUAUUCCCCGAGGGUAUCACCAGCUCAGUAGUCAGCACGUUGCAGGGAUGGGGUAAUUAAAAAUGUAAUGGUAAAUGAGUGUAACACAUUACAAAUUUCCAUGUAAUUGAAUGUAAUGUGUAAUUGAGCAUAUUUUUAAUUACAUGUAAUGGUAAUUUAAUUAAUUACAAUAAAAAAAGCAUGUAAUGCUAAAUUACUGUUCAAUUUCAUUUCAAUUACAUGUACUUUUAUGGUGUUAAUCAUGUUAAAGAUAAGAAAUUGUGAUAAUAUAAAUAUUAUUUAUUUGACAUACAGAAAUGGUUCCUAAAUAUUCUUAUAACUUAAAAAAAUAUGUGAGAAUCAUAUGUUGGUGUUGUUCAUUUUUUUAAGAAAGAUUUUUUAUCUAAAUAAAUUGAUAACAUGUAUAUAUUCAUACGAUCAAUACAUGUAUGUAUGGCAUGUAUGGUUAAACAAAUGUGUAUAUCUUCCUUAGACAGGUCUUUUAGAAUUUAAAAAAACUGCACACAAUCAUUUUGUCAAAUUAGCAUACACAAAAGGAUUAUAGAAAUAAAAGUUAACAGCUGUAAAAACAAAUAGCAAUUAAUUAGGCUAAAUGUGUAAUAAAAUAGCCUAGGGACAAUUCCACUAUUACAUGUAUUUUAUCUAAUUAGUUAGCAAAAUACUGAUAAUGAUUAGACAUUAUACACGUUUGGGCUAAACAUUAUUAUCAAUCUAGUGAAUAAUCAUGAUAAUUGUAAAGUAAAAAAAACAUGGACAAAGUUUUAAAAAGUUUUGCCUAAGCUGCAUUUGGCAAAAUUGUUAGAAAUACUUUGUCCUCAAUACUCUUCAAUAUUCGAGCAUCACUGAUGAGUCUUUUGUAGACGAAACGCGCGUCUGGUGUAAAUCCAAAAUUUCAUCUAUGAUGAGUUUAUUAUUUACGCGUUUCUCUUUUCUGAGUGUUUUUGCGUUUGUUUGUACUGUAUUCCUGUCACGUAGUGAUGUCCUUCAAGCGAUGUACUCUUUAAAAUUGACAUAUUAUCAGGAUGUUUGGCUGGCCAUAAAAAAGGUACAAUCCACCACUUUUUCUUUAAAUGUCCUGUACCAAGUCAGGAAUAUGGCAGUUGUUAUCAAAUAGUUCGUUUCUCUGUGAGUUUGCGUUUGAUCUUUUUGCACUCCGUCCUAUUGUUUUCUCUUAUAGUUGAUGUGUUACCCUCGGUUUUAAUGUGUUUUCUCUCAAUCGAUUUACGACUUUUGAACAGGGUAUACUACUGUUGAGCAUUUUAUUACUCAGCUAAUUGUCACAAUAUCAAAUUAUAUAGGUAUGUUGAAAGCAUCUAUGACCGAUGAUAUAUUGGUGUCUCGGAUCACUAGCGACGUGCUUUCGCGGUCUUAAAUCUUGACAUACCAAUACAAUCGUCUGGUCUGUAAUUUUAGUGAUGCUGUCAUAUUUCCGAUUAUCACAUUUAGACAGAGUAUGAAUUUGCAUAACACUGAUGCAUACAAAGUAGGAAACGCGUAACAUGAUGACGCAUCUGGUCGCGCUCCUUUUGAAGUUUAUACAAUUCCUUCAGUGUUUAUUUGUAACCUUGAUUUGUCUGUUCUUCAUAGAUUAACAAUAUUUAAACAGAGUUUAACAAUAGUUCCCUAAAUUAACACCUAAAAAUUAAGAACGAAGGUCUGUUAAGAACUAAAGUUUACAACAAAAGAGAUUAUGUCAUCUUCCAAUGGUGAACUUUCCAUUGAUGCCACUGCUGGUGGAGACUUAUUUCCCCGAGGGUAUCACCAGCCCAGUAGUCAGCACUUUUUGUGCUGACAUGAAUUAUCAUUGAUAUGGUUAUAUUUAUAAAUUAACUGUUUAACAAAUUUUGAAUAUUUGAAAUACUAAGGCUUUUCUACCUCAGGCAUAGAUUACCUUAGCUGUAUUUGGCAAAAGUUUAAGGAAUUUUGGUCUUCAAUGCUCUUCAACUUCGUACUUUAUUUGGAAACCGGAGUCUUGCGUAUAUACAAAAUUUAGUCCUGGUAUCUAUGAUGAGUUUAUUUCUUAUGUAGCAACAUUUUAUCAACACCUUCAUGUGGAAUGCAUAUAUAUCUUCCAAAUACGAUAUUCUAGACCAUGCAUUUGCAAUCAUUAUUCUCUGAUAGUGGAUAACUGAUUAAAGGGAUAUAUUAAACCAAUCUUUCGUGUUGUUAAAGCUGUAGUCAUCCCUACAAAUGUUUUAUGGACGGCAUCAUGAUGAUCGUAGAUAUCAUUAUUAUGAUAAGAACAACAAUCUUCUUCACGUCUUAAACAACUUUCAUAUCUUGUUCAGUAUACUAAAAACUUUUUUUUACUUACAUAUUCUAUGUGUCUGUACCACAUAUCUAUUGCGCAUAAACCCCUCAUUUUACUAUCCAUAGUUAAAUGAGGAGUUGUAUCGGAAUUUGUCAAUUAACUCGUAACUAGAUAAGUCAUGCGCAGUAAUGAUAGAUGAGUUUUAUAAACGUUUAAUGAAUAUUUUUAUCAAAAAAAAAAAAAAAAAAAAGAAAAAUAACAUAUCUUCCAUAAAACAAAAAUAAUUCCUACAAUUAAUGUACAACGUAUUAUAAAAGUAACACCAAAAAAGAUAGUUUUUUUAGCAGAAUAACCCUUCUAAUAAUGGUGUACACAUUUUUUCGACUCAAGCACAAAAUGGUCGAUCGAAUGUAAAGUAGGAUGCUACGCAGUAAACUUUGCAUUUAAACCGCAGUUCUUGAUCUACUUACCUCUCUUUGGUCAUAUAAGAAAAUAAAAUACACAGCAAUUUAAACACAGAGUUUCUAUAGCUAGUUUGUCAUAUUUGAGGAAGUUAACAUUCUAUAGUUUGAGAGCUUAAAAGUGUGAAAUUGAUAAUUAAAGAAUUUAUGGACUAUUCUUCUUCUUUUGAUGUGAAGUUCGGGCAGUCUUUGUUUUUCAAAUUUUGAAUUUGACAAACACCAUGCACUUUCUUGUUUGAGUAGUAAACUCAUAUAUUUUUUACUUUCACAGAAUUCGGCUUCGAUCGAAGCUUAUUACAAAUUGCAUGCAAUAAAAGUGCAGUUAUAAUUAUGAUAGGCAUCGAUUCACUUGAUUGUGAACAGAAUUUUAUUAAAACCCAUUAAAAUGAAUAUUAAUAUUAAAUUAAUCUCCAAUUAGAUUUUUAUUUCUAUUUUAAUCGUGAUGUUAAAAGGAUGUUGCGUAAUUUGCGAUACUAUCAAAACUAACGGAAAUAGAGAAACAUUAUAAAAAAACAAAAACAAAUUUCAUCGACUUUCUUAUAGUUUUUUAACAGUUCAUUUUUAAGUUAUAUUUUAUUCAAACCUUUUUUUUCACUUUCCGUUAUUUUUUUCUCUGACAUUGGUCGGGGGGACGUCUAUCUGCCAUUCUCCGCUGUCGAGCCUCGGCCGGACAUUUUUGUCCCUAGUGACUUACGGUGUCGUUUGGUCUCGAGCUUAUCCGAUAUAUAAUAUUCCAUAAACACGUGCCGUGCGCUCUGAAACUGUAUCAUACAUUCUUUCCUUUCAAAACAAAUAAUCAAUAAUCAACAAAUAAAAAGUAUACAUUUUAAAAACUUUUUUUUUAAACAUACGAUGAAUCAUAAAUUUAUUAAAACAACCGUAUGCAACCAUAUGAACUUUAAUGAUUAGAAACCCAUGUUUGUCCAGAUCAUCAUUAUAAUGUACUCUUUGUUUUCAGUUUUGAUGUAUACAUUGUUUUUUAUAUGUAUUUAUCCGAAAACAGUAAAAACUUAUAGCAAUACCUGUAGUUAUACCUUUAUGAGUUUAUCCAGUUUAUUCAAAAAUCAUACGAAACAUACACAAUUAACGAGAUGGCUUUAAAUUAGAAUAAAUGUCAAAGAAAUCUAUAAUAUGCAACAAUACAGUUGAAAGAUACAGCCCUACAUGUCUUCGAUAAACUCAUCAAUGCGCCAAAAUAUCUUAUCUAAAAAGUAUUGCAAAAUAUUAUCAAGAUAACCAUGAUUCAUUUACUUUGAAAGAAUAUACCAAGUUAUGUAACUCCCAUAACUUCCAUAUAUAAUUUUUAUAUGAACAAUAGGAUUGUAAUGUCUUGUAUUAGUAAUAAUACUUUUAUUAGUAAUAAUUUAGCUCAAAUCAUUAUUAUUAUAAUAAUAAUUUGAGCUAAGUUCAAUGCUUAAUUAUAUCCUUGUGAAUAUACAUAAUUUACAAAGAUCUCAUCAAAACUGUUCUUCACGUUUAUAAUUACAUGUAUUUGACCUUUCUUUGUUAUAACAAGAAAUUUUGUUUUAUGUGUAACCCUUGAAGAAAAUAUAUUAAUUGCUGUGGAAAUAUAAACAUAUCAUACGAAUUUCAGUGCGCACACGACACAUCUUUUUGUUUAAAUAGUACGAAACCAAACGGUUUGAAAGUUUGUGUGAUAAAAAAUAGAGAAUGAAGAAAGAUUGUCUAGAACGAAAAUACGUAGGUAAACACGUCUAGUGCUUUGAAAAAAUGCACAGGUAUUUGUCUAUUUCAUAUUUUUGUAAAAUUUCACAUAAAUGUCUUCUAUAAUUUAAUUACAACAAGAAUAUAUAUAAUGAAUGUUAUGCUAAAUUGACGUGGUUGAUACAAAUUAAAAGAGCCUAAACAACCAGAAGCAUUCUAAGACAGAUUGACGUGUUAAAUUUGCUCUAUGAAUUUGAAACUUUAAUUUAGAACAAUUACAUUAUUUAUGAAGUCAAUAUGUCAUUUUGAUAAAUAAAGACAUUACCGAAGUACUAGCUUCUAAAAAGUUACUAUUUGUUUGAUUUUAGAAGAAAUUUUGAAAGAGAACCUGCCAAGUCACCUAUUGACAAUCAAGUUAAAUAACUGAUAUGGUAUACAUAUAUAAAGAGUAUCAUUUAGUCAACAACACAAAAGGACUGAAAAAGAGGGACGAAAGAUACCAAAGGGACAGUCAAACUCAUAAAUCUAAAACAAACUGACAACGCCAUGGCUAAAAAUGAAAAAGACAAACAAACAACAGCACACACGACACAACAUAGAAAACUAAAGAAUAAACAACACGAACCCCACCAAAAAACUAGGG
Molecule: long non-coding RNA, 6887 nt
Filed under: Mytilus galloprovincialis (Mediterranean mussel)
Lineage: Eukaryota; Metazoa; Mollusca; Bivalvia; Mytilida; Mytilidae
Source: RNAcentral